Molecule: small nuclear RNA, 113 nt
Organism: Cebus imitator (Panamanian white-faced capuchin)
Lineage: Eukaryota; Metazoa; Chordata; Mammalia; Primates; Cebidae
Source: Ensembl
GUACUUGUUUCAGCAGCAUAUACUUUAAAAUUGGAUUAAUAGGGAGCAGAUGAGCAUAAGCAUGGCUGUUGCCUAAGGAUGGCUCACAAAUUCAUAAAGCAUUCCAUAUUUUG